RNAcentral lists this ribosomal RNA (301 nucleotides) under uncultured bacterium. RNAcentral's name for it is "partial 16S ribosomal RNA". It matches the Rfam family "Bacterial small subunit ribosomal RNA", at positions 509 to 808 of the family's 1533-position model. The record is from RNAcentral.
CAGUAGCCGCGGUAAUACGUAGGUGGCAAGCGUUGUCUGGAAUUAUUGGGCGUAAAGGGCUCGCAGGCGGUUUCUUAAGUCUGAUGUGAAAGCCCCGGCUCAACCGGGGAGGGUCAUUGGAAACUGGGAAACUUGAGUGCAGAAGAGGAGAGUGGAAUUCCACGUGUAGCGGUGAAAUGCGUAGAGAUGUGGAGGAACACUAGUGGCGAAGGCGACUCUCUGGUCUGUAACUGACGCUGAGGAGCGAAAGCGUGGGGAGCGAACAGGAUUAGAUACCCCCGUAGUCCCUGUCUCUUAUACA